Molecule: unclassified non-coding RNA, 217 nt
Filed under: Ascomycota sp.
Lineage: Eukaryota; Fungi; Ascomycota
Description: partial contains small subunit ribosomal RNA, internal transcribed spacer 1, and 5.8S ribosomal RNA
Rfam family: Eukaryotic small subunit ribosomal RNA (bases 1-47)
Source: RNAcentral
AAAGUCGUAACAAGGUUUCCGUAGGUGAACCUGCGGAAGGAUCAUUAGAGAGAAACUGCCCUUUGGGUACAUCUCCCGCCCUGAAUACCAUACCAGGUUGCUUUGGCAGACAUAUGCUUACGCAAGUGUAUGCCAGAGUCAUAAUCAUUCUUGUAUUUAAUAUGUCUGAGAAAAUAUAUAAUAUUUAAAACUUUCAACAACGGAUCUCUUGGUUCUG